UGAAAAUGAACAAUAAAUCUAACUUCAUUUAAUUUUCCAAAACAGAAAAUCAGAAAAAGAUAAAUCUGCAGACAUCGCAUUAAGCAUCUUUGCAUCAGAAAUUUCGAGCAUAUUUCAUAUAGCCAAGAAAGUGUAGGUGACCAAAUCCAGUUCAUCUCCACCACCGGACCAACUUUCAAGUCAUAAAGUUCAGCUCAAAACGGAACCUAAGAGAGAGAGAGAGAGUUUAGCUUAAAAAGUCAGUUGAAGAUUACACAUUUCUGCCUCUAAGGAUGUACUUUAAUACCAUAUAAGCACUAAAGAAUGCUAAAUGAUAAAGUUACCAUCAUAUUAUUAUAAAAACUUGAAAGGCAACCUCAAGAUCUUCUUCUACCCUUGGACAAAAGAGGGAUAAAUAAUCCACUCUACAGUUACCUCACAAAAAUCGCAAAAAUAUAGACACAAGGGAAAGGGAUAUUGCAUAUAAAGUUACAUCCCAACAGAAGAGCAGGCUUAAACCUCCCAAUACUAGUGAAAUCAGCAACUUAAGGAACACCCCAAGUCUACCCUGCCGAAACAACUAAAUAGGAGUAUAGAUACACCCAAAUGAGAUACAAAAAAGAACGUAGAAAAAACCAAGGCCGAACAUAGAAAACCACACUGAAAUUUGAGGUUUAAGUAAGUUGCCAAGAAAACUACAAACUCACUCUAUAGAUUAAUCAAAAACCUAAAACUCUUCAGGGAGCAAAACUUCAGACAUCUUUUUACCACCGGAAUGCCAAGCACAAUUUUUGCACUGACACUGAAAGCAGAAACAAAGCCAUUAGUCAGAGACAGUCCACACCACAGUGCCCAAACCUACUAAACGAAUUUGCUUACAGAAGAACAAAACAGAAAUAGGAAGCAAAAUCAGCACAAAGAGUUUCACUCCAAACUUGAGAAGUCACACCCACAGAUCUAUAUACAAAACACCCGAGAAUCUACACAACAGCAGAGAAAUCCUACAAUUGCAGCUCUUUGUUAGGAGGAAUAGUAACUUAACUAACCAACUUCCAAAUUCCCAAAAGAUUGACCAACAAAUACCACAAUUGUCAAAUAACCAUAAAUCUUACUUCCAGAUUCCCAAUAGAUUGACCUACAAAUACAAUAUCCAACUUGUAUCACUCAGUCAAAAUCCAAAAUCAUAAUCAAUAUACAAUAUCCAAACUGUAAGAUUCAUCAAGGAAAACCGAAGCAAAGAUAAAGAGAACCUCUGACAGAAGGCCCCUGCACCAAUCUGCUUGCCAAAUCCUUCAUAAAUGUCUUAUAUCUUUCAACUCCAAACCAAUAACCACAAACAGCAUCCAUAAUAAUUAUCUGACCCCAAAAUGUUGACAAAUCAGAGAAAUGCGAACCUUCUAAACACCUGUUCGCAACUGCUGCCAGAUAUUCCUUAUCCUUCUUCAAAUGACUUCAAACACAACAUCUACAAUGAUAAAUUAGCAUGCUCACACCAUACCUACUAAGAGCUCUAAAGCUGAAAUCUACAGAAAAAAUUACAACGUAAAGACAGAGAAAGUCUCAAAAAUCUUUGCUGAGUACAGGAUUUCCAGACCCUGAUCAUAGAAUGCCUCAUAAGUAAUAGCAAGAAGUUCAAAAAAUAUUAAAUACCAAUAGGAAUCCGCCUUAGAACUCCACCAAGCAAAAGUUCAACUCACCAAAUCCCUAAGAACAAAAUAAGCACCAACACUAACAUUAAAACAGAUAUGAAUACAAAUAUUACAAGGAAAAGAAAAUGAAGAAGCUAAAAGUGAAAAGUCCUGCAAAAACCACAAUGACCAGAGCAAGAAAGGUAGACUAAUAUAUUAAUACAGUUAGCAAUACAGAACUUGAUCUUCUCUGGUUCUCUCCCCUACUUCUAUUUCACCCUCGUUUUCCCUUGUUCCUCCCUAUUUGCUUCUGUCUAUUGCUGAUCUUCCCUCUAAAUUUCUAUUUUCUAUUUCCUUCCCCUACUGGUUCUUACAUCAAAAUAUAACAGAACUUGAAACUCUGUAAUAAAAGCCAAAAGCAGGUUCUCAACACAUACCACUCUUAGAACUACACGCACACAAACAUAAAAGAAAAGUAAUGUUCAAAAUUGAUCACUGCCUGUCAAACAUCGAGAUAAAAACCUGUUUUUGAAUUAUUAAGUAAAGAUGCUACCUACAAUCAUAAAACCAUUCAUAUAGAUAUCAAUCACAACAAGAAGAAAGUGUCCUCAGAACUGUGCCAGCUAGAAAGAACAUCUGCAUUCUACUGAAACUAGCUAGUGUAUAUAGAAAUGACAUCAGAACGUGAAACUACCACAAAAACCAGCUCUUACUUAGAGUUUAGGGUAAAUGUAAAUGUAACCCGAUAGAAUUGAAAUGGCCAUCCUCCCCUCCUCAUCUACUUACCUAAUCCCUCCAUCCCAAGUUCAUCAACAAAGAUACAAGCAUAUAAGAUCUCAUUCUCCCUGCGUAAUGCUAAUAAUCCCUAACAGCAGCCUCUGAAGACCCAAGAAUCAAGAACACGUAUGGGCAAAAAAAAGCAACCAAAAGCAACAUAUGGCUUGAAAACCUAAGAACUACAAAAACUCAGACACAAAGAAUACAAAAUAUGAAGAACAUUUGACAAAACAACCCUCUUGCAACAGCUGUGCAAUAUCCUUCAUCCUUUCUCCUUUUAGUUUUGAAAAAUGAUAACAUCAACAUCUAAAAUAAUAAAGGGUUAAUAACAUCUUAUCAUGCUCAGUAACGUAACUCCACAGGAUCCUAAAAUCUCCAAAACGAAAGACUACAAAUAAAUACAAUAAGAAGGAAACAAAUCUCAUUGAGGGUUGAAAUAGUAUUCUAAAUUCAAAAAUCCAAGAGACCCCUUAUCAAACACAACCAUAAAAGAUAUUGAAAGCAUUAAAAACUAAGAGGCCCUGAAACAAGGGUGGAAAAGUAUCAAAAAAUAACAGACAACAUAUAUAACCGUAGUAUAAAUUGUGCUAUGUGCUGAAGGUAGGAUCUAAAAUAAUAAAAGGGUCAAUAAUGCUCAGUAACAUAACUCCACAGAAUCCUAAAAGCUCCAAAACAAAAGACAGUAAAGAUAUACGAUAAGAACCAUGAAGAAGAUCUCCUUGAGAGUUGAGACAGUAUUCCAAAAUUGAAAAUCCAACAGACCCUGAUCAAACAAAACCAUAAAAGAAAUCUUGAAAAAAACUAUAUAAAUACAAUUUCUAGCAACAUACUUCAUUUCUGCUACUUAGACAUACAAAAACUAUCAACUUUCAUAACUAUGCAAAGAUCGAAAUCGGAUACUGAGAACCAAAUGGAAAACAAAACCUCAACUGACAGAACUUGUAAACUCUGCGUGGAUCUCUCCAACCUACAAACACAAACAAAUCUGAAAAGAAUAUAAAUCCCACAAUAAGAACUCAGUCGGACAUUUAUACGAACCAGUUAAAAGUACACGUCAAAAAUCCAAGAAAUGAAAGCACAA
RNAcentral lists this long non-coding RNA (3465 nucleotides) under Theobroma cacao (cacao). Its description in RNAcentral is "long non-coding RNA (TCAC_LNC002196)". The record is from RNAcentral. Lineage: Eukaryota; Viridiplantae; Streptophyta; Magnoliopsida; Malvales; Malvaceae.